GGGCGGUGUAGAACGUGGUCAGGUUCGCGGCGCUGCCGCCGCCGACCUGGACGGUGUUCAGCGCCCGGCGCCACGCG
RNAcentral lists this transfer RNA (77 nucleotides) under Planotetraspora phitsanulokensis. Its description in RNAcentral is "tRNA-Gly". Lineage: Bacteria; Bacillati; Actinomycetota; Actinomycetes; Streptosporangiales; Streptosporangiaceae. The record is from RNAcentral.